Molecule: long non-coding RNA, 524 nt
Filed under: Equus caballus (horse)
Lineage: Eukaryota; Metazoa; Chordata; Mammalia; Perissodactyla; Equidae
Description: lncRNA (ENSECAG00000058565.1)
Source: RNAcentral
CUCUAGUUGUGGCAUGUGGGACGCUGCCUCAGCGUGGUCUGAUGAGCAGUGCCAUGUCCGCGCCCAGGAUUCGAACCGACGAAACACUGGGCCGCCUGCAGCAGAGUGCGCGAACUUAACCGCUCGGCCACGGGGCCAGCCCCAGGAAUGUUGGAUUUCUUGACUGGAGAGGUGGUUACAAGGAGUGGCUGUGUCAUGUGGUAACUCUAUGUUUAACCUUUGGAGAAUCUGCCAGACCGUUUUCUAAAGAGGGUGCCUUCACAUUCCCAUCAGCAAGUACAUAGCUGUGUAUUUCAGUUGUGGAUCCUUCUAGUUGUGGCAUGUGGGAUGCUGCCUCAGCAUGGCCUGAUGAGCGGUGCCAUGUCUACGCCCAGGAUCCAAACUGGCGAAACCCUGGGCCACUGAAGUGGAGCAUGCAAACUUAACCACUUGGCCAUGGAGCCAGCCCCUUCCUUUUUAUUAUUAAGCCAACAAUAUUUUAUAGUUUUCAAUCUACCAUGUUGUACUUGUUUUGUUAAUUUUUU